This 431-nucleotide ribosomal RNA is filed under the name uncultured bacterium. Its description in RNAcentral is "bacterial SSU rRNA". It matches the Rfam family "Bacterial small subunit ribosomal RNA", at positions 957 to 1391 of the family's 1533-position model. The record is from RNAcentral.
GAACGCGAAGAACCUUACCCGGGCUUGAACCAAGAGUGACGAGUGCAGAGAUGCACUUUUCUUCGGACACUUUUGGAGGUGCUGCAUGGUUGUCGUCAGCUCGUGCCGUGAGGUGUCGGCUUAAGUGCCAUAACGAGCGCAACCCUUUUCUACGUUUGCCAUCGGGUAAUGCCGGGAACUCCGUGGAUACUGCCGCCGCAAGGCGGAGGAAGGUGGGGAUGACGUCAAAUCAGCACGGCCCUUACGUCCGGGGCUACACACGUGUUACAAUGGUCGGAGCAGCAGGAAGCUACCUGGCGACAGGAUGCUGAUCCCAAAACCCGGCCUCAGUUCGGACUGGAGUCUGCAACCCGACUCCACGAAGCCGGAUUCGCUAGUAAUCGCGCAUCAGCCAUGGCGCGGUGAAUACGUUCCCGGGUCUUGUACACACC